UUCCGGUUGAUCCUGCCGGACCCGACUGCUAUCAGAGUGGGACUAAGCCAUGCGAGUCAACACAGCAAUGUGUGGCAUACGGCUCAGUAACACGUAGUCAACAUGCCCAGGGGACGUGGAUAACCUCGGGAAACUGAGGAUAAACCGCGAUAAGUCACUACUUCUGGAAUGGGUAAUGACUUAAAUCUAUAUGGCCCCUGGAUUGGACUGCGGCCGAUCAGGCUGUUGGUGAGGUAAUGGCCCACCAAACCUGUAACCGGUACGGGCUCUGAGAGGAGGAGCCCGGAGAUGGGCACUGAGACAAGGGCCCAGGCCCUAUGGGGCGCAGCAGGCGCGAAACCUCUGCAAUAGGCGAAAGCCUGACAGGGUUACUCUGAGUGAUUUCCGUUAAGGAGAUCUUUUGGCACCUCUAAGAAUGGUGCAGAAUAAGGGGUGGGCAAGUCUGGUGUCAGCCGCCGCGGUAAUACCAGCACCCCGAGUGGUCGGGACGUUUAUUGGGCCUAAAGCAUCCGUAGCCGGUUCUGCAAGUCUUCCGUUAAAUCCACCUGCUUAACAGAUGGGCCGCGGAAGAUACUAUAGAGCUAGGAGGCGGGAGAGGCAAGCGGUACUCGAUGGGUAGGGGUAAAAUCCGUUGAUCCAUUGAAGACCACCAGUGGCGAAGGCGGCUUGCCAGAACGCGCUCGACGGUGAGGGAUGAAAGCUGGGGGAGCAAACCGGAUUAGAUACCCGGGUAGUCCCAG
This 740-nucleotide ribosomal RNA is filed under the name uncultured archaeon. RNAcentral describes it as "bacterial SSU rRNA". It matches the Rfam family "Archaeal small subunit ribosomal RNA", at positions 1 to 750 of the family's 1478-position model. The record is from RNAcentral.